Molecule: ribosomal RNA, 474 nt
Filed under: uncultured Hyphomicrobiales bacterium
Lineage: Bacteria; Pseudomonadati; Pseudomonadota; Alphaproteobacteria; Hyphomicrobiales
Description: bacterial SSU rRNA
Rfam family: Bacterial small subunit ribosomal RNA
Source: RNAcentral
AGAGUUUGAUCCUGGCUCAGAGCGAACGCUGGCGGCAGGCCUAACACAUGCAAGUCGAGCGGCCGUAGCAAUACGGCAGCGGCAGACGGGAGAGUAACACGUGGGAACGUACCCUUCAGUUCGGAACAACCCAGGGAAACUUGGGCUAAUACCGGAUACGUCCGUAAGGGGAAAGAUUUAUCGCUGAAGGAUCGGCCCGCGUCUGAUUAGCUAGUUGGUGAGGUAACGGCUCACCAAGGCGACGAUCAGUAGCUGGUCUGAGAGGAUGAUCAGCCUCACUGGGACUGAGACACGGCCCAGACUCCUACGGGAGGCAGCAGUGGGGAAUAUUGGACAAUGGGCGCAAGCCUGAUCCAGCCAUGCCGCGUGGAUGAUGAAGGCCUUAGGGUUGUAAAAUCCUUUCGACGGGGAAGAUAAUGACGGUACCCGUAGAAGAAGCCCCGGCUAACUUCGUGCCAGCCGCCGCGGUAAUUC